RNAcentral lists this ribosomal RNA (451 nucleotides) under uncultured bacterium. RNAcentral's name for it is "bacterial SSU rRNA". It matches the Rfam family "Bacterial small subunit ribosomal RNA", at positions 10 to 507 of the family's 1533-position model. The record is from RNAcentral.
AGUUUGAUCAUGGCUCAAGAACGAACGCUGGCGGCAUGCCUAACACAUGCAAGUCGAACGAAGCCUUCGGGCUUAGUGGCGCACGGGUGCGUAACGCGUGGGAACCUGCCCCUUGGUUCGGAAUAACAGUUAGAAAUGACUGCUAAUACCGGAUGAUGACGAAAGUCCAAAGAUUUAUCGCCGAGGGAUGGGCCCGCGUAGGAUUAGCUAGUUGGUGAGGUAAUGGCUCACCAAGGCGACGAUCCUUAGCUGGUCUGAGAGGAUGAUCAGCCACACUGGGACUGAGACACGGCCCAGACUCCUACGGGAGGCAGCAGUGGGGAAUAUUGGACAAUGGGCGAAAGCCUGAUCCAGCAAUGCCGCGUGAGUGAUGAAGGCCUUAGGGUUGUAAAGCUCUUUACCAGGGAUGAUAAUGACAGUACCUGGAGAAUAAGCUCCGGCUAACUCCGUG